RNAcentral lists this ribosomal RNA (1810 nucleotides) under Hypothenemus sp. SCA06. RNAcentral's name for it is "SSU rRNA". It matches the Rfam family "Eukaryotic small subunit ribosomal RNA", at positions 49 to 1662 of the family's 1831-position model. Lineage: Eukaryota; Metazoa; Arthropoda; Insecta; Coleoptera; Curculionidae. The record is from RNAcentral.
CCAUGCAUGUCUCAGUACAAGCCAAAUUAAGGUGAAACCGCGAAAGGCUCAUUAAAUCAGUUAUGGUUCCUUAGAUCGUACCCACACUUACUUGGAUAACUGUGGUAAUUCUAGAGCUAAUACAUGCAAACAGAGCUCCGACCGGAGAUGGAAGGAGUGCUUUUAUUAGAUCAAAACCAAUCGGUGGCGGGUCACUUUGUGGCUCGUUAUCGUACACUUUGGUGACUCUGAAUAACUUUACGCUGAUCGCACGGUCCUCGCACCGGCGACGCAUCUUUCAAAUGUCUGCCUUAUCAACUGUCGAUGGUAGGUUCUGCGCCUACCAUGGUUGUAACGGGUAACGGGGAAUCAGGGUUCGAUUCCGGAGAGGGAGCCUGAGAAACGGCUACCACAUCCAAGGAAGGCNGCAGGCGCGCAAAUUACCCACUCCCGGCACGGGGAGGUAGUGACGAAAAAUAACGAUACGGGACUCAUCCGAGGCCCCGUAAUCGGAAUGAGUACACUCUAAACCCUUUAACGAGGAUCAAUUGGAGGGCAAGUCUGGUGCCAGCAGCCGCGGUAAUUCCAGCUCCAAUAGCGUAUAUUAAAGUUGUUGCGGUUAAAAAGCUCGUAGUCGAAUUUGUGUCUCGCGCCGCCGGUUCAUCGUCCGCGGUGUUAACUGGCGUGUCGCGAGACGUCCUGCCGGUGGGCUCUCGUUCCGCGUAUUGUGACACGUUUGAUCAUUCGGUAUCCAAUCCGGAGGUCGGCGGCGUUCCGUGCGUGUGAGCGGACCCAACUCAAUCCUGCCGCGGUGCUCUUCAUUGAGUGUCGAGGUGGGCCGGCACGUUUACUUUGAACAAAUUAGAGUGCUUAAAGCAGGCUAAAAUUUCGCCUGAAUACUGUGUGCAUGGAAUAAUGGAAUAGGACCUCGGUUCUAUUUUGUUGGUUUUCGGAACUCCGAGGUAAUGAUUAAUAGGAACGGAUGGGGGCAUUCGUAUUGCGACGUUAGAGGUGAAAUUCUUGGAUCGUCGCAAGACGGACAGAAGCGAAAGCAUUUGCCAAAAACGCUUUCAUUGAUCAAGAACGAAAGUUAGAGGUUCGAAGGCGAUCAGAUACCGCCCUAGUUCUAACCAUAAACGAUGCCAGCUAGCGAUCCGUCGACGUUCCUCCGAUGACUCGACGGGCAGCUUCCGGGAAACCAAAGCUUUUGGGUUCCGGGGGAAGUAUGGUUGCAAAGCUGAAACUUAAAGGAAUUGACGGAAGGGCACCACCAGGAGUGGAGCCUGCGGCUUAAUUUGACUCAACACGGGAAACCUCACCAGGCCCGGACACCGGAAGGAUUGACAGAUUGAGAGCUCUUUCUUGAUUCGGUGGGUGGUGGUGCAUGGCCGUUCUUAGUUGGUGGAGCGAUUUGUCUGGUUAAUUCCGAUAACGAACGAGACUCUAGCCUGCUAACUAGGCGUAUUUUGACAUCCCAAAGGCCCGCCGGCUAGAUGUCGUUGCGUGAUUCGCGGUUGUCAUAACCGUGGGUUGCGUGCGCUCGGUCGUGCGCGGUUUUUACUGUCGGCGUACAAACAAUUCUUCUUAGAGGGACAGGCGGCUUCUAGCCGCACGAGAUUGAGCAAUAACAGGUCUGUGAUGCCCUUAGAUGUUCUGGGCCGCACGCGCGCUACACUGAAGGAAUCAGCGUGUCCUCCCUGGCCGAGUGGCCCGGGUAACCCGCUGAACCUCCUUCGUGCUAGGGAUUGGGGCUUGCAAUUGUUCCCCAUGAACGAGGAAUUCCCAGUAAGCGCGAGUCAUAAGCUCGCGUUGAUUACGUCCCUGCCCUUUG